Molecule: unclassified non-coding RNA, 543 nt
Filed under: Nothophoma gossypiicola
Lineage: Eukaryota; Fungi; Ascomycota; Dothideomycetes; Pleosporales; Didymellaceae
Description: sequence contains ITS1, 5.8S rRNA gene, ITS2
Rfam family: 5.8S ribosomal RNA (bases 181-334)
Source: RNAcentral
UAACAAGGUUUCCGUAGGUGAACCUGCGGAAGGAUCAUUACCUAGAGUUGUAGGCUUUGCCUGCUAUCUCUUACCCAUGUCUUUUGAGUACCUUACGUUUCCUCGGCGGGUCCGCCCGCCGAUUGGACACUUUAAACCAUUUGCAGUUGCAAUCAGCGUCUGAAAAAACUUAAUAGUUACAACUUUCAACAACGGAUCUCUUGGUUCUGGCAUCGAUGAAGAACGCAGCGAAAUGCGAUAAGUAGUGUGAAUUGCAGAAUUCAGUGAAUCAUCGAAUCUUUGAACGCACAUUGCGCCCCUUGGUAUUCCAUGGGGCAUGCCUGUUCGAGCGUCAUUUGUACCUUCAAGCUUUGCUUGGUGUUGGGUGUUUGUCUCGCCUCUGCGUGUAGACUCGCCUCAAAACAAUUGGCAGCCGGCGUAUUGAUUUCGGAGCGCAGUACAUCUCGCGCUUUGCACUCAUAACGACGACGUCCAAAAGUACAUUUUUACACUCUUGACCUCGGAUCAGGUAGGGAUACCCGCUGAACUUAAGCAUAUCAAUAA